UCUUCGGAAUGAAAGUUUUGUGACUGAGUGGCGGACGGGUGAGUAACGCGUGGGUAACCUGCCUCAUACAGGGGGAUAACAGUUAGAAAUGACUGCUAAUACCGCAUAAGACCACAGGACCGCAUGGUGCGGUGGUAAAAACUCCGGUGGUAUGAGAUGGACCCGCGUCUGAUUAGCUAGUUGGUAAGGUAACGGCUUACCAAGGCGACGAUCAGUAGCCGACCUGAGAGGGUGACCGGCCACAUUGGGACUGAGACACGGCCCAAACUCCUACGGGAGGCAGCAGUGGGGAAUAUUGCACAAUGGGGGAAACCCUGAUGCAGCGACGCCGCGUGAGCGAUGAAGUAUUUCGGUAUGUAAAGCUCUAUCAGCAGGGAAGAAUUAGGACGGUACCUGACUAAGAAGCACCGGCUAAAUACGUGCCAGCAGCCGCGGUAAUACGUAUGGUGCAAGCGUUAUCCGGAUUUACUGGGUGUAAAGGGAGCGUAGACGGAGAGGCAAGUCUGAUGUGAAACCCGGGGCUCAACCCCGGGACUGCAUUGGAAACUGUUUUUCUAGAGUGUCGGAGAGGUAAGUGGAAUUCCUAGUGUAGCGGUGAAAUGCGUAGAUAUUAGGAGGACACCAGUGGCGAAGGCGGCUUACUGGAUGAUGACUGAC
This 657-nucleotide ribosomal RNA is filed under the name uncultured Lachnospiraceae bacterium. RNAcentral's name for it is "bacterial SSU rRNA". It matches the Rfam family "Bacterial small subunit ribosomal RNA", at positions 71 to 744 of the family's 1533-position model. Lineage: Bacteria; Bacillati; Bacillota; Clostridia; Lachnospirales; Lachnospiraceae. The record is from RNAcentral.